AUCGCUUCUCAACCUUUUGGCUAAGAUCAAGUGUAGUAACUCUUCUUAUCAGUUUAACAUUUUUAUCUUUAAAUAUGAUUUAGAAAUGACCAAAACAGAUCUUUCAGACUCUGA
This 114-nucleotide small nuclear RNA is filed under the name Zalophus californianus (California sea lion). RNAcentral's name for it is "U2 spliceosomal RNA (ENSZCAG00015004659.1)". It matches the Rfam family "U2 spliceosomal RNA". From Rfam's summary of the family: U2 is a small nuclear RNA (snRNA) component of the spliceosome (involved in pre-mRNA splicing). Complementary binding between U2 snRNA (in an area lying towards the 5' end but 3' to hairpin I) and the branchpoint sequence (BPS) of the intron results the bulging out of an unpaired adenosine, on the BPS, which initiates a nucleophilic attack at the intronic 5' splice site, thus starting the first of two transesterification reactions that mediate splicing. The record is from RNAcentral. Lineage: Eukaryota; Metazoa; Chordata; Mammalia; Carnivora; Otariidae.